Molecule: ribosomal RNA, 411 nt
Filed under: uncultured bacterium
Lineage: Bacteria
Description: bacterial SSU rRNA
Rfam family: Bacterial small subunit ribosomal RNA
Source: RNAcentral
GAUGAACGCUGGCGGCGUGCCUAACACAUGCAAGUCGAACGAAGCACUUGUAUUUGAUUCUUCGGAUGAAGAUACUUGUGACUGAGUGGCGGACGGGUGAGUAACGCGUGGGUAACCUGCCUCAUACAGGGGGAUAACAGUUAGAAAUGGCUGCUAAUACCGCAUAAGCACACAGUGUUGCAUGACACAGUGUGAAAAACUCCGGUGGUAUGAGAUGGACCCGCGUCUGAUUAGCUAGUUGGUGGGGUAACGGCCUACCAAGGCGACGAUCAGUAGCCGACCUGAGAGGGUGACCGGCCACAUUGGGACUGAGACACGGCCCAAACUCCUACGGGAGGCAGCAGUGGGGAAUAUUGCACAAUGGGGGAAACCCUGAUGCAGCGACGCCGCGUGAGCGAAGAAGUAUUUCGG